GUAAUCAAAAGUUUAUUUAUUGUAAACCUGUAUGAAGGAUUAAAUCUAUAGCUUCUUUUAUUUCUUCAAACAUGAAUUUACAGAAAAAUAAAAAUAAUUUCUUUGGAGGUAGACGAGAAGACCCUAAAAGCUAAUUAUUGUUAAUUUUUUGGGGAAAAUAAUAUUUAUAUUCUAAUAAUAAAAUUAUGGAAAAACUUAAAAAUAAGCUACUUUAGGGAUAACAGAGUAAUUUUUUUUAAAGAACUCAUUAAAUUAAAAGAUUACGACCUCGAUGUUGGAUUCCUAGGUCUUUGUAUCGCAGCAGGUACAAAAGAAUAGACUGUUCGUUUUUUUAACUAGG
RNAcentral lists this ribosomal RNA (340 nucleotides) under Tetra pinnatifidae. Its description in RNAcentral is "partial 16S ribosomal RNA". The record is from RNAcentral. Lineage: Eukaryota; Metazoa; Arthropoda; Arachnida; Trombidiformes; Eriophyidae.